GAUGAACGCUGGCGGCGUGCCUAAUACAUGCAAGUCGAGCGAACAGACGAGGAGCUUGCUCCUCUGACGUUAGCGGCGGACGGGUGAGUAACACGUGGAUAACCUACCUAUAAGACUGGGAUAACUUCGGGAAACCGGAGCUAAUACCGGAUAAUAUAUUGAACUGCAUGGUUCAAUAGUGAAAGACGGUUUUGCUGUCACUUAUAGAUGGAUCCGCGCCGCAUUAGCUAGUUGGUAAGGUAACGGCUUACCAAGGCAACGAUGCGUAGCCGACCUGAGAGGGUAAUCGGCCACACUGGAACUGAGACACGGUCCAGACUCCUACGGGAGGCAGCAGUAGGGAAUCUUCCGCAAUGGGCGAAAGCCUGACGGAGCAACGCCGCGUGAGUGAUGAAGGUCUUCGGAUCGUAAAACUCUGUUAUUAGGGAAGAACAAAUGAGUAAGUAACUAUGCACGUCUUGACGGUACCUAAUCAGAAAGCCACGGCUAACUACGUG
This 497-nucleotide ribosomal RNA is filed under the name uncultured bacterium. RNAcentral describes it as "partial 16S ribosomal RNA". It matches the Rfam family "Bacterial small subunit ribosomal RNA", at positions 28 to 507 of the family's 1533-position model. The record is from RNAcentral.